Molecule: ribosomal RNA, 489 nt
Filed under: uncultured bacterium
Lineage: Bacteria
Description: partial 16S ribosomal RNA
Rfam family: Bacterial small subunit ribosomal RNA
Source: RNAcentral
GAUGAACGCUAGCUACAGGCUUAACACAUGCAAGUCGAGGGGCAGCAUGAACUUAGCUUGCUAAGUUUGAUGGCGACCGGCGCACGGGUGAGUAACACGUAUCCAACCUGCCGAUGACUCGGGGAUAGCCUUUCGAAAGAAAGAUUAAUAACCGAUGGCAUAGUUCUUCCGCAUGGUAGAACUAUUAAAGAAUUUCGGUCAUCGAUGGGGAUGCGUUCCAUUAGGUUGUUGGCGGGGUAACGGCCCACCAAGCCUUCGAUGGAUAGGGGUUCUGAGAGGAAGGUCCCCCACAUUGGAACUGAGACACGGUCCAAACUCCUACGGGAGGCAGCAGUGAGGAAUAUUGGUCAAUGGACGAGAGUCUGAACCAGCCAAGUAGCGUGAAGGAUGACUGCCCUAUGGGUUGUAAACUUCUUUUAUACGGGAAUAAAGUGAGGCACGUGUGCCUUUUUGUAUGUACCGUAUGAAUAAGGAUCGGCUAACUCCGUG